UACGUAGGGUGCAAGCGUUGUCCGGAAUUAUUGGGCGUAAAGAGCUCGUAGGCGGUUUGUCGCGUCGAAUGUGAAAACCCGGGGCUCAACCCCGGGCCUGCAUUCGAUACGGGCAGACUAGAGUUCGGUAGGGGAGUCUGGAAUUCCUGGAGUAGCGGUGAAAUGCGCAGAUAUCAGGAGGAACACCGGUGGCGAAGGCGGCUACCUGGAGCUUUGCUGACGCUGAUGCGCGAAAGCGUGGGGAGCGAUCCGG
Molecule: ribosomal RNA, 253 nt
Filed under: uncultured bacterium
Lineage: Bacteria
Description: partial 16S ribosomal RNA
Rfam family: Bacterial small subunit ribosomal RNA
Source: RNAcentral